RNAcentral lists this unclassified non-coding RNA (49 nucleotides) under Leishmania tarentolae. The record is from RNAcentral. Lineage: Eukaryota; Euglenozoa; Kinetoplastea; Trypanosomatida; Trypanosomatidae.
AUUUUUACAAGUGUAGAAAAAUAAUUAAUAAAUAUGGAGUAUGAUUAUU